Molecule: ribosomal RNA, 638 nt
Filed under: Salmonella enterica
Lineage: Bacteria; Pseudomonadati; Pseudomonadota; Gammaproteobacteria; Enterobacterales; Enterobacteriaceae
Description: partial 23S ribosomal RNA
Rfam family: Bacterial large subunit ribosomal RNA
Source: RNAcentral
AAACCGUGUACGUACAAGCAGUGGGAGCACAGGUUUACCUGUGUGACUGCGUACCUUUUGUAUAAUGGGUCAGCGACUUAUAUUCUGUAGCAAGGUUAACCGAAUAGGGGAGCCGGAGGGAAACCGAGUCUUAACCGGGCGUUAAGUUGCAGGGUAUAGACCCGAAACCCGGUGAUCUAGCCAUGGGCAGGUUGAAGGUUGGGUAACACUAACUGGAGGACCGAACCGACUAAUGUUGAAAAAUUAGCGGAUGACCUGUGGCUGGGGGUGAAAGGCCAAUCAAACCGGGAGAUAGCUGGUUCUCCCCGAAAGCUAUUUAGGUAGCGCCUCGUGAAUUCAUCUCCGGGGGUAGAGCACUGUUUCGGCUAGGGGGCCAUCCCGGCUUACCAACCCGAUGCAAACUGCGAAUACCGGAGAAUGUUAUCACGGGAGACACACGGCGGGUGCUAACGUCCGUCGUGAAGAGGGAAACAACCCAGACCGCCAGCUAAGGUCCCAAAGUCAUGGUUAAGUGGGAAACGAUGUGGGAAGGCCCAGACAGCCAGGAUGUUGGCUUAGAAGCAGCCAUCAUUUAAAGAAAGCGUAAUAGCUCACUGGUCGAGUCGGCCUGCGCGGAAGAUGUAACGGGGCUAAACCAU